RNAcentral lists this ribosomal RNA (737 nucleotides) under uncultured bacterium. Its description in RNAcentral is "bacterial SSU rRNA". It matches the Rfam family "Bacterial small subunit ribosomal RNA", at positions 56 to 787 of the family's 1533-position model. The record is from RNAcentral.
UGCAGUCGAACGGCAGCACGGGAGCUUGCUCCUGGUGGCGAGUGGCGAACGGGUGAGUAAUAUAUCGGAACGUAUCCAAUAAUGGGGGAUAACUAAUCGAAAGGUUGGCUAAUACCGCAUACGCCCUGAGGGGGAAAGCUGGGGAUCCUCGGACCUAGCGUUAAUGGAGCGGCCGAUAUCUGAUUAGCUAGUUGGUGGGGUAAAGGCCCACCAAGGCGACGAUCAGUAGCUGGUCUGAGAGGACGACCAGCCACACUGGAACUGAGACACGGUCCAGACUCCUACGGGAGGCAGCAGUGGGGAAUUUUGGACAAUGGGCGCAAGCCUGAUCCAGCCAUUCCGCGUGAGUGAAGAAGGCCUUCGGGUUGUAAAGCUCUUUCGCAAGGGAAGAAACGAUUUAGGUGAAUAAUCUAAGUUAAUGACGGUACCUUGAUAAGAAGCACCGGCUAACUACGUGCCAGCAGCCGCGGUAAUACGUAGGGUGCGAGCGUUAAUCGGAAUUACUGGGCGUAAAGCGUGCGCAGGCUGUUUUGUAAGUCAGAUGUGAAAUCCCCGAGCUCAACUUGGGAACUGCGUUUGAAACUACAAGACUAGAAUAGGUCAGAGGGGGGUAGAAUUCCACGUGUAGCAGUGAAGUGCGUAGAGAUGUGGAGGAAUAUCAAUGGCGAAGGCAGCCCCCUGGGAUCAUAUUGACGCUCAUGCACGAAAGCGUGGGGAGCAAACAGGAUUAGAUACCC